UACGUAGGGUGCGAGCGUUAAUCGGAAUUACUGGGCGUAAAGCGUGCGCAGGCGGUUUUGUAAGUCAGAUGUGAAAUCCCCGGGCUCAACCUGGGAACUGCGUUUGAAACUACAAGGCUAGAGUGUAGCAGAGGGGGGGUAGAAUUCCACGUGUAGCAGUGAAAUGCGUAGAGAUGUGGAGGAAUACCAAUGGCGAAGGCAGCCCCCUGGGUUAACACUGACGCUCAUGCACGAAGCGUGGGAGCAAACAGGAUAGAAACCCCGA
This 265-nucleotide ribosomal RNA is filed under the name uncultured bacterium. RNAcentral's name for it is "partial 16S ribosomal RNA". It matches the Rfam family "Bacterial small subunit ribosomal RNA", at positions 524 to 790 of the family's 1533-position model. The record is from RNAcentral.